CCUACGGGAGGCAGCAGUGAGGCAUAUUGGUCAAUGGGCGCAAGCCUGAACCAGCCAAGUCGCGUGAGGGAUGACGGUCCUAUGGAUUGUAAACCUCUUUUGUCGGGGAGCAAGGCCCGCCACGUGUGGCCGGAAGGAGAGUACCCGAAGACAAAGCCGCGGCUAACUCCUUGCCAGCAGCCGCGUGAAUGCGGAGGAUGCGAGCGUGCUCCGGAUUUAUUGGGUUUAAAGGGUGCCGAGGCGGAAGGUUAAGUCAGUGGUCAAAUGUCGGUGCUCAACACCGGCCUGCCGUUGAAACUGGUAGUCUUGAGUGGGCGAGAAGUAUGCGGAAGGCGCGGUGUAGCGGUGACAUGCAUAGAUAGCGCGCAGAAAUCCGAUUGCGAAGGCAGCAUACCGGAGCUAAACUGACGCUGCGGCACGAAAGCGUGGGGAUCGAACAGGAUUAGAUACCCCGGUAGUC
This 460-nucleotide ribosomal RNA is filed under the name uncultured bacterium. Its description in RNAcentral is "partial 16S ribosomal RNA". It matches the Rfam family "Bacterial small subunit ribosomal RNA", at positions 338 to 795 of the family's 1533-position model. The record is from RNAcentral.